RNA transcript from Falco peregrinus (peregrine falcon), 8819 nucleotides. It is a transcript of the gene named threonine synthase like 2, with no coding region annotated. The record is from RefSeq and is a predicted model, not a curated record. The transcript is spliced from 10 exons. Lineage: Eukaryota; Metazoa; Chordata; Aves; Falconiformes; Falconidae.
GCCCUGAUGCCUGGCACCACCAGGAGCAGCUGGCUCCAUCUUUCUCACGUAUUCCUAUCCCCAGGCUCGAUUCAGGGCAGCCGCCUCUGCCGCCUGCUCCGUGGCGAGGGGAACGUCAGCCGGUUGCAACGGGGAGAAGUUUUCCAUGAGCACAAGUGCAAAGGGUGGCUGGGCUGCAAGUGGCGGCGGCGGUGGCGCAUCCAUGGAGUACGUCAGCACACGGGGAGGCACAGGGACUGUUGACUUCGAGGGAGCCCUGUUCUCUGGGUACGCACCUGACCAGGGCCUCUUCAUGCCCCAGCACAUCCCCUUGCUGGAUGGGGACACCCUGCGCAGGUGGAGCAGCCUCUCCUACCGGGAGCUGGUGAAGGAGCUGUGCUCCCUCUUCAUCACAGCUGAGCUGAUCCCGCGGAGCAUGCUCAAUGACUUGAUCGACAGGGCCUUCAGCAGGUUCAGACACAAGGAUGUUGUCCAUCUGUCCAGGCUGAAAGAUGGGCUGAAUGUGUUGGAGCUCUGGCAUGGGGUUACUUACGCAUUUAAGGAUCUGUCCUUGUCCUGCACAGGGCAGUUUUUACAGUACUUCUUGGAGAAAAAGCAGAAGCAUGUCACUAUUCUGGUGGGGACUUCAGGGGACACAGGGAGCUCGGCCAUUGAAAGCGUGAGAGGACAGAAGAACAUGGACAUCUUUGUUCUGCUCCCCAAGGGGUUCUGCACCCAGAUACAGGAACUUCAGAUGACCACUGUCAUUGAAGACAACGUCCAUGUAUUUGCUGCUCAUGGGAACAGUGAUGAAAUCGAUGAGCCUAUCAAGGAACUGUUUGCUGAUGUCGAUUUUGCCAGAAAAUACAAUCUGAUGAGCCUGAAUUCCGUCAAUUGGUCGAGGAUUAUGGUGCAGAUUGCUCACCACUUCUAUGCUUACUUUCAGUGUGCCCCAUCCCUGGAUACCACCCCGCUGCCAGUGGUGGAAAUUGUUGUGCCAACAGGAGGAGGAGGAAACAUCACAGCUGGCUGUAUUGCCCAGAAAAUGGGUCUCCCGAUUAGACUUGUUGCUGCAGUCAACAGCAACGACAUCAUUCACAGGACUGUUCAACAUGGAGAUUUCUCACUGUCAGAAAGCGUGAAGGCUACAUUAGCAUCAGCCAUGGAUAUUCAGGCUCCACCAAGAGUAAGAGAAGAAACCGGGAAGAAGGUAGGGAAGCCUAGAAGAAAUGCCUCAUCUAUGGCCAUCUGCAGCUUGCCCAGAGCAGAACAAGUCUCAGCAGGCAGGGAAAGGCCUCAGCCAUGGAAAAGCAUGGAGGAGCCUUACAACGUGGAGAGGAUCCUCUGGCUGCUCUCGGGCUCUGAUAGCCACCUGAUAAAAACACUAAUGGAGAGAUUCAGUGCAUCAAAAAGCCUUACGCUGCCAGAGGAUUUGCACAGAAAGUUCUUUCAGGCUGUAAUUAAACACAGACACCCAGCCCUUUCUGUCUGCAUAGAAAGAGGCAGGCAGGCCUCCGGAGCUCUGCACUUCUUGGAGCAGGAGAGAAGUGGAAAAUGGGGCAAAACCAGUUUCCAUUGAAAACUCACCACCCUGUGCAUGUCCUUCGCGGGGAAAAGCAACCAGCUCAAGGAAAUUAAAGGAAUGUGACUUCCAAGAUCCCAGCCCUGCAAUCAAAGUAAGUUUAUAUGCCCUUAAGAUCUUGCAGCUUCGUACAUUUUAAAGACAGAGGAGAUCACUUUGUCUGAUCUCCGGCACAACACAGGCUGUUGAACAUCACUCUGCUGCGUUCAUUGAGCUCGGCAACUUGUUGGCUUAUGAACAUCUUGAUCUGAAGAUCUGGAGAUAGGAGUCCACCUUUUUCACUUGCUUCUUGAUUUCCCCAGUUUUUUCACCCUCGCUGUGAAAAAAACAGGCAGUGCUGUAAAUUCCCAUCCCCGUGCUGCUCCCGUGGUCAAUAUUAAUCUCCCAGCGCAGGGUGUGCUUCCCAGGGAAACCUGAGCUCCCACCAGCCCUGCUGCCCUCUUGCCCCUCUGGCUUCAAAUAGAAACUUAGUUCUAAAGCCCUCUAGAAAUGCAAAUAAAAAAGUCAGAUGCUCACAUGAUGGAAAGCAACCCCUAAAUAAUAUUUGCCUUAUGCCCACAAUGCUGAACGACACCUACACCCAACAUUACUCCUGCCCUCAAAGGUUUCGCUUAUCUAAAAUGCUACCCUUAAUCAAUAAAUAUAUGAAGAGACACCGGCCGUCUGGUGUACCGCUUAUAAGAGUGGUGGGGGAAGAUGCAGCUUGCUUGGAGGAUGCCCUGGUCAGAGCUGGGUCAUGACAAACAUGUUUCUGUCCCACAGCCAUGUCAGGCAGCAUGGGAGGGAGGAGAGGAGGCAUAGAGUGGGAAUGGAGCCAGCUCCUGCCAGUCACCCCAAAUCCACACAUCCACCUGUAGGUGGACCCAGUUCUCACCAGACAAUGACAAUGAAGAGCUUCACCACGGUGAAGACAGUGGGGACUGUGUUCAACAGCCAAACAUAUGUAUUUUUUUUUGAAUGGAAACAUUUAAGGAUGCAGUUGUGUGAUUUAUAACCUGAGGUCUGUAGAGUAUGUAUGAUAAAUAUACAGAGAACAUAAGACAGACUUACUGCCUGCCUGCAAGGGGGUCCUUGGUUUGGGACAGCACAGUCCUGUGGGCACCCCGAGUGAUGCUCCUCUGCCUUGAUGACCCCCUACACUUUUCAGAAAAAAGCCACAGCCCUUUUGGUGUCCUAUCAACCCAAGGAUGGAUUUGCUGUAGGCUUUUAUGUCCCCCCAGCCCCAUGGCUGGGUCUGUCCUGUGGUUUUCAUGCAGCUGGAUGGGCAUCCAUGGGGAGUGGUGAACAUGGGAGGGGGUGCAGGACCCUCUGUAGGCUCCUUCCCAGGUGAGGGGAGCACAGGGCUGGGAGCUUCCUUGGAGUUAUUGAUGUCAGCAGUAGCAGAAGUGAUUCAGAAGAGGAUUUUUUUCACUUAAUUGCCUUUUAGAAAUGUGGAAGGGAGGGAAAUGAGAAGGGAAAAGAAAAACCAAAGAAGAAAAUAAAGCUAGCUUGCAUUUAGAAAUGAAAUAUUUAAUGGAAAAGGAAUUUGAGUUUGUUUGGACUGUAACAAAAGACUUUGCUCCACCAAAACUGAGCUGAUUCUGAGCAGAAACUUUUUAAAAAAGAUUUGAGCUAAAAAAAGGAUAUUUUGAAGGUAAAAUAACUCACUUUUAGUCCAAAUGGUUAAAAUUCUGUUCGAGGUUUGGGAAAGGAAGCAAAUUCAGGAAUUUUAGAAGUUUCAGAAAACUUUAAAACACCAUAUCACAAUAAAAGGUGAUCUGGGGAAGAGGAAAGUGUUGCUUUGCUGGAGCAAGAGGGCCGGAAAAGGGAGAAGCCAGUGGCCGCCCUGAGUGGCUCUGUCCUUGCCCUGAUGCCCCUGAGAUCACCCUGAGCACUUUAAGAUCACGAGAUACUGAGAACAAAGAGUUUGUGUUCUCUUUUUUGCACUUUAGUUCCCUGUCUUUUGGGGCUCCCAAAGCUGUUCAGCUUUUUUAGGGCAGGUUAGAAACCACUUCUUAAAGAAAGCAGAGUGGAAAAUCACAUAUAACAUGGCUCCAAGAGGGUGAUGCUUUCAGAAAAAUAGCAAAAAUAAGGAUUCCUUGGAAAAAUAAAUAAUUAAGACGUGAUGAGCACAGGAGGUCAGUGGUAUUUCAUGCACUUCUUUGUUAUUCAUCUCCUUGCUUUUGCUUUGGGAUUCCUUGAGCAGAGAUCAUCGUGGAUGUUUGCACAGCCUUUUGCAGAUGAAUAUGAAAUAGCAGUGGGAUGCUGCAAUAAGGGAUGGGGAAGGCAGAAGGGGCUGUGUAUGAUGAGUGUAGCAUUAUUUUGGUAUCUGACAUAUGGAAUGGAACAGGACUCACUGUGCUAGAUCCUGGACCUAGAUGGAAAAAGCAAGAUAACAUUUUUGCUGUUGAAGUUUACAAUCACAGCUUUAAGCGAAAGAGUAGCUUCUGGGGAUGGGGUCUUUUCUGUUGCUGACUUUCUGCAAGACCCUGGGGAGCACCAAGGUGGGGUUGAGGACUGGGAACACCCUCCCACAGCCCACCCAUCCCUUGGCACCAGCCUGGAUGCUGCCAUGUGGGAGACUCCUGGGGUCCCACACUAGCUGGGGACCAGGCUGCUGCCACCUCCUCACCCUGAGCUUGGUCCUUUGCAGCUCCACUUAGUCCCUACCUGCCCAGCAAAGCACCAGCAUCCAGCCCCUGGGAGCUCCUUGCUUCCGCUCCUCUGGGAUGCUUGUGAGGAUUAGCCAAGCUAUGCUCCCUAAACCCAUCACAUGCGUUUCAAUAGUUUUAAUUGUUGCCUUUAAGAUAAUUACAGGCUGGAGAGAGCGGACAGGAAGAGCCCUGUGGAUUUGCACCGGGGCUUGGGCGUACCGCUGUGUACGGUACGGGAGAUUUGCCACUUAGCAGUGUUUUUCCUGCUUGGGAGAGUGAUUUACACGCCACAGCACCACAACAGGGAAGGACUGCAGGUCCCCACUCCCAUGGCUGGAACAACUGGAGCAAGGGGUCACCCUGCCCUGGGGGAAAGCAUCCCCCAGCACCGGGCUCAGAAGGUGCUGGCUCUUGAUCAUUUAAGCCACAGGUUUCGCCUCCUUCCCAAGCCCGUUCAGAAGGGAAUGCACACCUGAAGUGAGCAGGACGCCAAACAUCAGACUCACAGCAGGGCAGGGAGCACCCAGGGCCUCCCUUGCUCAGACAUGAGGUAUCAACUUCACUCAGCUCCAGUACUCUCCUUGGCUCUUAGUGAGGUGGACCACACCUGAGGUUUUUUAGCAUAUUAUGGUUAUUCCUGGUCCCUUGCUGGCUAUCCAUCCUCCAUCACGAAAGAAAACAUUUUCAUGAUUUUAAAGGGAGAUAUCUCGGUCCCUCCUGUAUCCUGGAGUAAUUCAAUAUUGAGUGAGAGGAGCGUGGUGACUGCUUUUCCCCUGUUCGCACUUUUCUUGCAAUUAUUUUGUUGGAGCUCCCCGCUGAGGAGCAGGGCAGGCUGGCAGCUCUCACAGAUAACAGAACUUCCCAGGUGCUGCCUUGCCACAGAAGAGCUGGGGCAGCACUAAGGACCCCUCUCAGGGCACAGACCUGCCCCAGGGUGAACGGUGCACACAGGGUGUGUCUUCUAAAAAUGCUGCAGACUUUUUCAGUCCCCUAAUGAAGUGCAUCUUGGGUACCCCACAUUAGAGUGCCCAAGCUAAUCCAUAUAGAUUUGCAUGCCCAGGGGCACCCGUGUGUUUUGCUAUCCAGGCUGUGGCGUUGCCAUGGUUUAAGGUGCUGCUGCUGACCAGCGGUUCGUUCACAUCCCUCAGAUGGAUGGGACCAGCCUGGCGGCUGAGUAGCAACAACGGUGGUGCAAGAUGCUAAACCUGGAGGGCUUUGCUCUCACCCAUCUGACCUUGGGCUGAAGAGGAUGAGGAGCACUCCCUGCCUUGUCCUGGAACCUUCCCCAGCAGGAGAUGGGAAACUCCCCACCUCUCAAAGAUUUCCUGCCCAAAUGAGAAAAAACAACCCAGACCCCAUUUUUUUCUGGAGAUCUCCAGCCCAGUGUGCCAUCAUGAAACCCAGCAAGGGGUUCUUGCCCUUGCAUUUGUAGUGGCCUCUUUAUCACUGAUGCAUUUUAAAAUGAAGGUAAGAUUUCAUCUAAAUUCAAGAAACUGCUCUAGUUCAACCUGCUGAUUGCAGGACAUAUCAUGGCUGGUGUGGUUUGGAGGAUCGGUGGGUCACUUGCAGACAUCGAAACUAGUGGUUAAUGAAGGGAUAAUGUGGGGCCAAACACACUGAGGAUACAAUUUGUUGUAGUAUUGAAUCCAUAGAAAUCCAUUUAAUAGUGUGUCCCCUAAAUUGCUGCCCCUUUUCCACCCUAACUCCUAACCUGGAAAUAAUCCCAGCAGGAAAAAAGGGAAAUAGCUCAAAUAUUAAAAUGUGGUGAACGUGGGCUGGGUCCCUGUGCAGGUGGAGGGGAUGGGGAUGGGUCCCAUUGCUGCUGCUGAGGCAAGUCUGGGGACACUCUCUGCCCUCCUAGUGGGGUUCAAGACCUACAUCUGCAGGUGGUUGGGUUAGAUGUCAACCGCACCCCAAAUCCAGAGCUGAGCAUCUGAGGGGUUCGGCAAGGAUGGGAUAUUCCCCUCCAUGAGCUGCACCAGCUGUCCUUCGCAUCCCUGAUCUCUUCUCCCUCUCCCCUGCCGCUUUCCUCCCCCUGUGAUAUGAUGCAUUGGCAGAGAAAUAAAAUAAUCAGAUAUUGCUUUAUUACUUUCCACCCGUACUUCCCUCACGGGCAUCUGUAUUUCUGCAAAUGCUUUUAAUAUUUGCUAAUAAAAGCAGCUCCAGUAAUGACAUGCUCGCUCCCCAAGACAAAAUUGCCGGGACUGGCGUUAUCUAACAAACUCUUUCUGGCACAAGCGCGUCUGCAUACGAGCCAUUUCUGCCCAUUCACAGGAUUAUCAGCCAUCUCUGCAGCCAGCCCCAGCCCUCCUCUCUCAUUCCUAGUUAAUUGGUGUGAAAUUGGAGCAAGUUCUCAGGUGAUAAUGUGUUUGCAUUUACUGCUUCACUGAACCACCCUAGCCACUCAAUCCCAGCUUCAUUAAAGCCUCAAUCUCAGCUUUUGCUCCUGGCUGUGAGCUUCAAACCCUAUUUCCUGCGUGGCAGACAUACAGCCUAACACAUGUCAGGCAGACAGCUUGAGCGGAGCUGCUGGGAACAAGCGAGGCUACUGCCUGGGCGCCGCUCCGGGAAAAUCACGUUCGCAGCGGGAGAGAGAUGCUCGGAGUCCCCACGAUGGCUUCACGCUGCGUUGGUUGGCUCCCCGCGCUUGAAAAAGGCAUGUUUUGUGCCCUUUAAUUAUCUUUGAUUAAUGAAUUAAUUUUUUUUUCCUGCAGCACUUUGAAGAUAAAAAGCCUUCGUCUGAAUUAUGUGAUUAGUAUUUAAAGACUCAAGUGAAAUAUUUGUAGGCAGAAAAACCUAACCGAGGAAUGCCUGUGUUCAAACAUUCAGUAGGGCCUAUUCACAGGAUCGGAUUCCAGGGUUAUUAUUAGCAAUAAGGUUAUCUUUGGCAUAAUCUUUUUAUGCACAACAUGCUACUGGAUUCCACCCUCCCUGUUUUGCUCGGGCCCUGGGGCAGAAGGUAUACAAAUUAGAGCUGGUUCCAGCCUUGCAAGUGUUCUUCAUGCAAGUGGAGCUGAAGUCUGCUGAGGUCUGCCACGAUUAUAUUUAGGACCAUCCAUAAAGUUUUUUGGUGCGUGAUGCGUGCCCCAGGAUGCUCCCAUGUUGGGGGGAUAAGUGUGGUGCUGCCCCUGGGGUAGCUCCAGCUCUGCCAGCACAUGCUGCCGUGGACCCACUGUGCAUUGGAGACAUCUGUGACACCCCAUGAGGUGACCCUUCAAACUGUGGAUGGAAAGGGAUGGGUCGGGCUGGUCCUAUGCCUGCAGGUCGUGGAGGCGGCUCCGAGCAUCUCCCCGGUAUGUGGGAUUUCACAGGUCUGGACAUAGGUCUGUGCUUGGACAGGUCUGGACGCAGUCAGGGAGAGCAAAGCACUGUCAGACACACCGCUGUGUGAAGCUCUCUUUUGUGAAGCCCAAAGCAGCUCUCUGCUGGGGUAGAUGUUGCCAGGGGGUCCUGUCUGCCCCCAGCCUCAGCUGGGAGUGCUGAGACACGAGUGGGGCUGGUUGGGUUGCAGGCUUGGGGGAAUAGGUUGAUCUGGGCAUGAAAGCAGAGAGCAGCUGCCUCCUGCCUCUUAAUUUGGUUGUACUUCUAGCUCUUGCAAAGCUGAAGGUAGGAGUUGGGGUUUGUUGUUGUUGGGUUUUUUGGUGGUUUGUUGGUUGUUGGUUUUUUUUUUAAUAGGUGGUGGGUGUGAUUUUUCAAAUGCGCUCCCCUUUGGCACGUCUCUGCAGGCGACGUCAGUGAGAGCCCCAGGAUGCCUCCGCCGGAGCCCAGGAACACCUUCCUUUGAAACUCACCCCAUGUGUCUCCCCAGAUCCAACCGCUGAGCAUCACAGGUGGGAGGAGGCAAGGCCACAUUUGGCAGCAGUCCUUCACCCCAAACAGCUCAGCCUCUGCACGUGGUCCCCUGCUUACCCCGAAACCAGCUCCAAAAGUCCAUCGGGGCUACUCAUCCGUGCCCCGGGUCCCCAGCCUGGGUCCAGGCAGAGCAAAAAUACACAGAGGCACAUUAAAGGAUGGCCGGUGUGGCUUUGAAACAGCGCAGCGAUCCCCUGUAGCCUGGUUUUUGGAGAAGGGUGAGACAGAUCCCUGGCAGGAUGAAGACUUGGACAAAACCAUGGGGAAAAAUAAUAAAUAAACCCUGGCUAUAUGUAAGUGUUGUGGCCACAGUCCAGUGUCUGUUGAGUUCAGUGGGAACCUUUCCUUGACUUUGCCGCACUGGGUCAGACCUCAGGAAUGUGCCUCCUGCUUUGAUGGUUUUGCUAUUGGUAGGUCAGCUCGGAAAAUCAGAAAAUCAGCAGCUUCACUUUGCACAGGCUGUUCCCAGGCUGAGCUUCACCUGGCUUCAGCGACUCACUGCAGCUCAUGUCAUCUUGUUUUGACUCAGUCUCCUGCGACUCACCUGUCCCUGGGGAGCUGGCGAUGUGGGAUCAUCUCCCUGUCAGAGGACUUUUCCCCACCUGGGGUCCUGUGCCUCCCUGUGUGGGCAAGGAUCCUCCCAGGGAAGAGUUUCUCCCAGCAGUUUUGGACACAAGCAGUAAGAUUUACCUUUCCCGCAUCUGAGAAGGGUGGUAUCUCCUGCCAUGGUCCCUGCACAACAUAUAUACAAUCUAUAUAUAGUGUAUGUGUAU